CAAGUCGAACGAAUCCCACUGCUGUAGCAAUACAGUGGUGGGGGAAGUGGCGAAAGGGGCAGUAAGGCGUGGGUAACCUACCCCGGGGACGUGGAUAGCCAUUCUAACGAGUGGGUAAUACACGGCGAUCCAGCGAGGGGGCAUCUUCUUGCUGGGAAAUGAAUCUCGCCUCGGGAGGGGCUCACGUGAUAUUAGCUUGUUGGCGGGGUAACGGCCCACCAAGGCCAAGAUGUCUAGCGGGUGUGAGAGCACGACCCGCGCCACUGGCACUGAGACACUGGCCAGACACCUACGGGUGGCUGCAGUCGAGGAUCUUUGGCAAUGAGCGCAAGCUUGACCAAGCGACGCCGCGUGUGCGAUGAAGGCCUUCGGGUUGUAAAGCACUGUCGAGGGGGAUAAAGCCGCAAGGUUGAUUGAUCCCUGGAGGAAGCACGGGCUAAGUUCGUGCCAGCAGCCGCGGUAAGACGAACCGUGCGAACGUUGUUCGGAAUCACUGGGCUUAAAGGGCGCGUAGGCGGCAGUUCAAGUCCGGGGUGAAAUCCUCCAGCUCAACUGGAGAAGUGCCUUGGAUACUGGAUUGCUCGAGGGAGGUAGGGGUCGAGGGAACUUCUGGUGGAGCGGUGAAAUGCGUUGAUAUCAGAAGGAACGCCGGUGGCGAAAGCGCUCGACUGGACCUCUUCUGACGCUGAGGCGCGAAAGCUAGGGGAGCAAACGGGAUUAGAUACCCCGGUAGUCCUAGCCCUAAACGAUGGGUACUAGCUUGUGGACUAGUCAUGGGUUCACAGGCGAAGCAAAAGUUUUAAGUACCCCGCCUGGGGA
Molecule: ribosomal RNA, 819 nt
Filed under: uncultured Planctomycetota bacterium
Lineage: Bacteria; Pseudomonadati; Planctomycetota
Description: bacterial SSU rRNA
Rfam family: Bacterial small subunit ribosomal RNA
Source: RNAcentral